GAUGAAGAACGCAGCGAAAUGCGAUACUUGGUGUGAAUUGCAGAAUCCCGUGAACCAUCGAGUCUUUGAACGCAAGUUGCGCCUCAAGCCAUUAGGUUGAGGGCACGUCUGCCUGGGCGUCACAUAUCGUUGCCUGAUGCCAGUUUCCUCGUGAUGGGUGACUGUGCAGGGCGAAUGAUGGCUUCCCGUGAGCAUUGUUGCCUCAUGGUUGGUUGAAAAUUGAGUCCUUGGUAGGGAGCGCCGUGAUAGAUGGUGGUUGAGUGACGAACGAGACCCAAUCAUGUGAGACCCCUACCGAAUUUGGCCUUCAUGACCCACAUGCGUCUUUGGAACGCUCAUGACGAGACCUCAGGUCAGGCGGGGCUACCCGCUGAGUUUAAGCAUAUCAAUAAGCGGGA
RNAcentral lists this unclassified non-coding RNA (398 nucleotides) under soil metagenome. Its description in RNAcentral is "partial contains 5.8S ribosomal RNA, internal transcribed spacer 2, and large subunit ribosomal RNA". The stretch from base 1 to 122 matches the Rfam family "5.8S ribosomal RNA", at positions 35 to 154 of the family's 154-position model. The record is from RNAcentral.